ACGGUAACAUGAGAGCUUGCUCUUGAUGACGAGUGGCGCACGGGUGCGUAACGCGUAUGCAACCUACCUAUAACAGGGAGAUAGCCCGGAGAAAUUCGGAUUAAUAUCCCAUAGUACAACCAGAAGGCAUCUGAAGGUUGUUAAAGAUUUAUCGGUUAUAGAUGGGCAUGCGUAAGAUUAGCUAGCUGGUGAGGUAAUUGCUCACCAAGGCUACGAUCUUUAGGGGGUCUGAGAGGAUGAUCCCCCACACUGGUACUGAGAUACGGACCAGACUCCUACGGGAGGCAGCAGUAGGGAAUAUUGGUCAAUGGGGGCAACCCUGAACCAGCCAUGCCGCGUGCGGGAAGAAGGCGUUCUGCGUUGUAAACCGCUUUUAUACAGGAAGAAAAUGCUAUGCGUAGUACUAUGACGGUACUGUAUGAAUAAGCACCGGCUAACUCCGUGCCAGCAGCCGCGGUAAUACGGAGGGUGCGAGCGUUGUCCGGAAUUAUUGGGUUUAAAGGGUGCGUAGGCGGUCUUUUAAGUCAGAGGUGAAAUCUCACAGCUUAACUGUGGAACUGCCUUUGAUACUGGAAGACUUGAGUAUAGUAGAGGUAGGCGGAAUUGAAGGUGUAGCGGUGAAAUGCAUAGAUAUCUUCAAGAACACCGAUUGCGUAGGCAGCUUACUGGACUAUAACUGACGCUGAGGCACGAAAGCAUGGGUAGCGAACAGGAUUAGAUACCCUGGUAGUCCAUGCCGUAAACGAUGCUCACUCGAUGUAUGCGAUACACAGUAUGCGUCCAAGCGAAAGCGUUAAGUGAGCCACCUGGGGAGUACGCUGGCAACAGUGAAACUCAAAGGAAUUGACGGGGGUCCGCACAAGCGGUG
RNAcentral lists this ribosomal RNA (868 nucleotides) under uncultured microorganism. RNAcentral's name for it is "bacterial SSU rRNA". It matches the Rfam family "Bacterial small subunit ribosomal RNA", at positions 66 to 934 of the family's 1533-position model. The record is from RNAcentral.